This 886-nucleotide ribosomal RNA is filed under the name Rhabditophanes sp. KR3021. Its description in RNAcentral is "eukaryotic LSU rRNA". It matches the Rfam family "Eukaryotic large subunit ribosomal RNA", at positions 82 to 931 of the family's 3401-position model. Lineage: Eukaryota; Metazoa; Nematoda; Chromadorea; Rhabditida; Alloionematidae. The record is from RNAcentral.
AGUAACUGCGAGUGAACUGGAAUUAGCCCAUCACGAAAUCUGUCGAGGCAACUCUUCCGAAAUGUCGUGUAUAGAUGUUACUUAAAAUAAUAAAAUACAAAUUAAUUACGUUUAAACCCGUAGCCACAGAAGGUGCCAGCCCUGUCGAUUUGUGUAUUGUUAUUUUUGGUAGCUUCUCAGAGUCGUGUUGCUUGAAAGUGCAGCGCAAAGUUGGUGAUAAACAUCAUCUAAGGCUAAAUAUCCCCAUGAAUCCGAUAGCGAACAAGUACUGUGAAGGAAAGUUGCAAAGCACUCCGAAGAGAGAGUUAAAGAGGACGUGAAACCGAUACGAUGGAAGCGCACAGAGCCAGUCGCAUUGACAUYAAUUUAUUGGUGUUUCUAAGUGUGAAACAUUUGAUUGCUUUUGUUGCCCGCACUCUAGGUCGCGAAAUUUAUUUUUUGUAGUUGGAGGGCACGAAGACAUAAGUAGUUAAAUUGUAGAUUGGGGAAGGUURGUUGAUGUAUUGUGGUUUUUUGAUGAUUCACUUGUGUUUGACUCUUAAAAUUAUUUUACUGAUAUUAGKCCAACUAGUCGUUUUUACAUAGCCCUGGUAUGCUGUACGUCCCGUCUUGAAACACGGACCAAGGAGUGUAUUGCUAUGGCGAGUCAUUAAUAUUGUUAAUAUUAAAGGCGUAUUGAAAAAGAUUCUACUUGUGAUGUAGUAAUACAGCAACAAGGACGUGGGCAUGAUAUUUAUAUCCGUCCGCAGUUAGAGCCAUAGUAGUGCGACCCGAAAGAUGGUGAACUAUGCUAGCGCAGGGUGAAGUCAGAGGAAACUCUGAUGGAAGCUCGAAGCGGUCCUGACGUGCAAAUCGGUCGUAUGACGUUAGUAUAGGGGCGAAAGAC